Molecule: ribosomal RNA, 443 nt
Filed under: uncultured bacterium
Lineage: Bacteria
Description: partial 16S ribosomal RNA
Rfam family: Bacterial small subunit ribosomal RNA
Source: RNAcentral
CCUACGGGGUGCAGCAGUGGGGAAUAUUGGGCAAUGGGCGCAAGCCUGACCCAGCAACGCCGCGUGAAGGAAGAAGGCUUUCGGGUUGUAAACCUCUUUUCUCAGGGACGAAGAAAGUGACGGUACCUGAGGAAUAAGCCACGGCUAACUACGUGCCAGCAGCCGCGGUAAUACGUAGGUGGCAAGCGUUAUCCGGAUUUACUGGGUGUAAAGGGCGUGUAGGCGGGAAAGCAAGUCAGAUGUGAAAACCACGGGCUCAACCUGUGGCCUGCAUUUGAAACUGUUUUUCUUGAGUGCUGGAGAGGCAGACGGAAUUCCUAGUGUAGCGGUGAAAUGCGUAGAUAUUAGGAGGAACACCAGUGGCGAAGGCGGUCUGCUGGACAGCAACUGACGCUGAGGCGCGAAAGCGUGGGGAGCAAACAGGAUUAGAUACCCCAGUAGUC